This 332-nucleotide long non-coding RNA is filed under the name Capsella rubella. Its description in RNAcentral is "long non-coding RNA (CRUB_LNC003015)". The record is from RNAcentral. Lineage: Eukaryota; Viridiplantae; Streptophyta; Magnoliopsida; Brassicales; Brassicaceae.
AUGGUAAACUUGCAAAAUAUGGCGACUUAAACGGAAAUAUUUACAUAAAUCUAACAGUUAAACGGAUUAGAAUAUGCUACAUUUUUUUUUGUAGUGUAGUUGAUUGCGGUGAAUCAUAUAUUUGUGUAAUAAGUUUAGAUAAAAUAGUAAAAGGAAAAAAAACGAGUAAAUGAUAAUAUACUGAGUAUUGAUACAAUAGAGAAAAAAAAAUGAAAAUUUAACAGGACGAAAGACUAUGUAUCGAAAGAUUAUUCAAUUUGACUAUUUUUGUAGCAGAAGUAAGAAUAUACGUAAAAGUUACAUACUUAUAAUACAGUUUUUGAAGGACUAAC